UACGAUGGGGGCGAGCGUUGUUCGGAAUUAUUGGGCGUAAAGGGUGCGUAGGCCGCACGGAAAGUCAGAGGUGAAAUCCCGGAGCUCAACUUCGGAAUUGCCUCCGAUACUCCCGUGCUUGAGGACUGGAGAGGAGUCUGGAAUUCACAGUGGAGCAGUGAAAUGCGUAGAUAUUGUGAGGAACACUAGUGGCGAAGGCGAGACUCUGGACAGUUCCUGACGCUGAGGCACGAAGGCCAGGGGAGCAAACGGG
Molecule: ribosomal RNA, 253 nt
Filed under: uncultured bacterium
Lineage: Bacteria
Description: partial 16S ribosomal RNA
Rfam family: Bacterial small subunit ribosomal RNA
Source: RNAcentral